UGAAGAGCCAUGUUUGAUCAGGAUAUUUCAGAGGAACCUUGAAUGAAAACAAGUUAAUAAAUCAAAGCAAUUUAAUAUUCAUAUUUAUUCAUCUUUUUAUUGAUGGUUCACAAUAUCUUUAUGUAAUGAUUUGUAAAGAGCGCGAUAAACCGUUCAAUGGCGGUUAACAAGGGGUGAAACAAAACAUUAAGAUUCUCUUUUGGUUUGUGCAAGUAGUCGCUUUGUAUUGUGGACAUUAUACUAAUAUUUGGAGUAAAUUAAAUAUUUUAAUUUGGUUUUGUGUUUAAUUUACCUUUGUAUAGCUUCAAGAAUCAAAUAAUCUAAAGACAAGGAUCAUGAGGAAACAAAGAAAAGCAUUGCUCAGAGGAAAAUAACUAUUCAUAGGAACACGUUUUUUCAAUCACCAUUUAACUUUUAUAACUGGGUCAAAUGAUCGAUCGCUCAAAUGAAGUUAAAGUCAAGACAAGUUGGAUCAAUGGAAGUGCAGAUCAUGGUUAAUCUCAAGUAUUUCCAAUGGAGUCAAGUUAAAGGCUAUUAAACACCAUUCGGUGCAGUGUAAAUAAAACACAAGACAAAGCUGGAUUGUCCCUGUUUAUUGUUGUGCUACAUUUUAAAGCCAAUUUCAAUGUAAUGGUAUUUCAUGGUGGCGAUAAAUAAUUUAUCUGGUAAUGAAAAACCGAAAGCAGUGUUCAAGUUAAUUUCUGGACUCAUAACGUUUAACGUUGACCUGAUAAUAUUUACAUGUUACAUGAUGGAUAUACAAGUACAUGGAUGAGCAUAUUGAUUGAUGUAAUUUUCCUGACCUCUUGUAUUUACUACUGGAUGGGUGUACUUUGAUACUUGACCAGAGGCUUUUUGUUGAUAAAUAAUAGUCGGAUAAACCUGUGAGUGAUCUGAUCUUACAAACAACAAUCAGAUCUUUUUCACGAUGUUUCAUGACUUACAGGUAUAACAGGUUUUUAUGAUACACAAUGAAACGUAAAAGUCUGAAUUGACUUACAACCGGAGUGCGUAUUAAUUUACUCAUGGUAUUAAUAAAUAUAAAAGAUUGACUUGUUGAA
Long non-coding RNA from Tetranychus urticae (two-spotted spider mite), 1061 nucleotides. RefSeq lists it as uncharacterized. The record is from RefSeq and is a predicted model, not a curated record. Lineage: Eukaryota; Metazoa; Arthropoda; Arachnida; Trombidiformes; Tetranychidae.